RNAcentral lists this ribosomal RNA (253 nucleotides) under uncultured bacterium. Its description in RNAcentral is "partial 16S ribosomal RNA". It matches the Rfam family "Bacterial small subunit ribosomal RNA", at positions 524 to 776 of the family's 1533-position model. The record is from RNAcentral.
UACGUAGGUGGCAAGCGUUGUCCGGAUUUACUGGGCGUAAAGAGCGCGCAGGCGGUCGGAUAAGUCGAAUGUGAAAGCCCCCGGCUCAACUGGGGAGGGUCAUUCGAUACUGUUCGACUCGAAGGCAGGAGAGGGAAGUGGAAUUCCCGGUGUAGUGGUGAAAUGCGUAGAUAUCGGGAGGAACACCAGUGGCGAAGGCGACUUCCUGGCCUGUUCUUGACGCUGAGGCGCGAAAGCGUGGGGAGCGAACAGG